Molecule: ribosomal RNA, 497 nt
Filed under: uncultured bacterium
Lineage: Bacteria
Description: partial 16S ribosomal RNA
Rfam family: Bacterial small subunit ribosomal RNA
Source: RNAcentral
GAUGAACGCUGGCGGCGUGCCUAAUACAUGCAAGUCGAGCGAACAGAUAAGGAGCUUGCUCCUUUGACGUUAGCGGCGGACGGGUGAGUAACACGUGGGUAACCUACCUAUAAGACUGGGAUAACUUCGGGAAACCGGAGCUAAUACCGGAUAACAUUUGGAACCGCAUGGUUCUAAAGUGAAAGAUGGUUUUGCUAUCACUUAUAGAUGGACCCGCGCCGUAUUAGCUAGUUGGUAAGGUAACGGCUUACCAAGGCGACGAUAUGUAGCCGACCUGAGAGGGUGAUCGGCCACACUGGAACUGAGACACGGUCCAGACUCCUACGGGAGGCAGCAGUAGGGAAUCUUCCGCAAUGGGCGAAAGCCUGACGGAGCAACGCCGCGUGAGUGAUGAAGGGUUUCGGCUCGUAAAACUCUGUUAUUAGGGAAGAACAAACGUGUAAGUAACUGUGCACGUCUUGACGGUACCUAAUCAGAAAGCCACGGCUAACUACGUG